RNAcentral lists this ribosomal RNA (552 nucleotides) under Kluyveromyces marxianus. Its description in RNAcentral is "partial large subunit ribosomal RNA". It matches the Rfam family "Eukaryotic large subunit ribosomal RNA", at positions 59 to 651 of the family's 3401-position model. Lineage: Eukaryota; Fungi; Ascomycota; Saccharomycetes; Saccharomycetales; Saccharomycetaceae. The record is from RNAcentral.
AAGAAACCAACCGGGAUUGCCUUAGUAACGGCGAGUGAAGCGGCAAAAGCUCAAAUUUGAAAUCUGGCGUCUUCGACGUCCGAGUUGUAAUUUGAAGAAGGCGACUUUGUAGCUGGUCCUUGUCUAUGUUCCUUGGAACAGGACGUCAUAGAGGGUGAGAAUCCCGUGUGGCGAGGAUCCCAGUUAUUUGUAAAGUGCUUUCGACGAGUCGAGUUGUUUGGGAAUGCAGCUCUAAGUGGGUGGUAAAUUCCAUCUAAAGCUAAAUAUUGGCGAGAGACCGAUAGCGAACAAGUACAGUGAUGGAAAGAUGAAAAGAACUUUGAAAAGAGAGUGAAAAAGUACGUGAAAUUGUUGAAAGGGAAGGGCAUUUGAUCAGACAUGGCGUUUGCUUCGGCUUUCGCUGGGCCAGCAUCAGUUUUAGCGGUUGGAUAAAUCCUCGGGAAAUGUGGCUCUGCUUCGGUAGAGUGUUAUAGCCCGUGGGAAUACAGCCAGCUGGGACUGAGGAUUGCGACUUUUGUCAAGGAUGCUGGCGUAAUGGUUAAAUGCCGCCCG